GACGAACGCUGGCGGCGUGCUUAACACAUGCAAGUCGAACGGAAAGGCCCUGCUUUUGUGGGGUGCUCGAGUGGCGAACGGGUGAGUAACACGUGAGUAACCUGCCCUUGACUUUGGGAUAACUUCAGGAAACUGGGGCUAAUACCGGAUAGGAGCUCCUGCUGCAUGGUGGGGGUUGGAAAGUUUCGGCGGUUGGGGAUGGACUCGCGGCUUAUCAGCUUGUUGGUGGGGUAGUGGCGUACCAAGGCUUUGACGGGUAGCCGGCCGGAGAGGGUGACCCGCCACAUUGGUACUGAGAUACGGCCCAGACUCCUACGGGACGCAGCAGUAGGGAAUAUUGCACACUGGUCGGAAGCCUGAUGCAGCGACGCCGCGUGCGGGAUAACGGCCUUCGGGUUGUAAACCGCUUUCGCCUGUUACGAAGCGUGAGUGACGGUAAUGGGUAAAGAAGCACCGGCUAACUACGUG
RNAcentral lists this ribosomal RNA (468 nucleotides) under uncultured bacterium. RNAcentral describes it as "partial 16S ribosomal RNA". It matches the Rfam family "Bacterial small subunit ribosomal RNA", at positions 28 to 507 of the family's 1533-position model. The record is from RNAcentral.